This 10083-nucleotide unclassified non-coding RNA is filed under the name Diabrotica virgifera virgifera (western corn rootworm). RNAcentral describes it as "heparan sulfate 2-O-sulfotransferase pipe". The record is from RNAcentral. Lineage: Eukaryota; Metazoa; Arthropoda; Insecta; Coleoptera; Chrysomelidae.
AGGAUGGUACCCAUGUAGUGCAAGGAGAAAGAACCAGCUGACGGUCUGUUGAUACCGAUGAUGGUACUCGACAACUGUCAGUUCUUCACGCGCUCUACUAAGGAUAGGAGUAAAUCGGUUAUGCGCUAAAAACGGCGGAGGGUCUUGUGCUGUAAUCGUGCGUUGACACUUGUGCCAAAAUGGAUCAGUUUUAUAGGGGGAGGAGGUUGGGUUUUCCGAAAAGGACUAGUGAACUGAUUGCUCUUAUGGCUCUAUCCACAACAUUGUUUCUAUACAUUCAUACCCGAGAUUUGCAUACCAAACUUAAAGAAAUGGAAGUGAAAAUUCAGCCUGUCAGUAUGGUAUCAGGAAACCAAUUACUCUUAGAUAAUAGUGGUCCAGCGGAAGCUACAGGAGUUAGAGCAACCAUGAAACUACUCGAAAGUACGGGACAAAUGUCCAUGUUACACCCGUCACUGCUAAAUAACACCAGAAAAGCACAAGUCAACACUGUUUUCUUCAACAGAGUGCCAAAAGUUGGAUCACAAACAUUAAUGGAGCUUAUAAGAAGAUUGGGCAUAAGAAAUAAUUUUGGUUUUCAUCAAGAUAUGGUGCAAAGAGUAGAAACUAUUAGACUAUCUCCGGAGGAUCAAGCUAUUUUGGCAGCAUUGGUAUCUAGUUAUGAUCCACCCGGAGUGUACAUCAAGCAUGUUUGUUUUACUAAUGUUUCAAGUUUCGGAUUACCAGAACCAAUUUACAUUAAUUUGGUUCGAGAUCCUGUUGAACGUGUGAUAUCAUGGUACUACUAUGUGCGAGCCCCUUGGUAUUAUGUCGAACGAAAGAUUGCUUUUCCUGAUAUACCACUGCCUGAUCCGAAAUGGUUGAAAAAGGAUUUUGAGGAAUGUGUCUUAUCUGGGGACCGGGAAUGCAGAUACCUAAGAGGAGAAAUAAGGGAAGGUAUUGGUGAUCACAGACGUCAGUCGAUGUUCUUCUGCGGUCACCAUCCUGAUUGCCUACCUUUCAAUACACAAGGAGCCUUAGAACGCGCAAAAAGGGCAGUCGAGAGGAAUUAUGCUGUUGUAGGUGUAUUGGAAGAUUUAAAUACCACUUUAACAGUCUUAGAACAUUACGUCCCUCGAUUUUUCAAAGGAGCUACUGAUGUUUAUUACAAUGAAAUAAGUCGCUACCAUCCCAUCAACAAAAACAACUUCAAGCCACCCGUUAGCGAAGAAAUUAAAGAGUUGGUGAGAAAGAACUUUACGAAAGAAAUCGAAUUUUACGAGUUUUGCAAACAGAGACUACAUAAGCAGUAUUUAGCCCUAAAGCUUCCAGAUGCCGGCACUUAAAUGGUUGUAAUUUUGUGUAAUUUAUUAGUGCUUUAAAGGAAAUGUUGAUCUGAUAUUGUACAUAUUUAUAGCAUUAGAGCACAGUAUAACUGCUGUGAUUAUAGCUUUCUUAGAAAACAAAAAGAAUUGGAAAUACUUUCAACCUUUCUGUUGUUGACUGCGUGAUUUGUGACGUUAUUUAUAGAAGAUAAAAUCAAUUCUAAUAACAGUAAAAUGUUGUUAUUUUCUAUGUUGUACGUUAUUGUUCUAAAUUCAAUAUUCUAUUAGAUUUUAAAAGGUUGUGUUAAUUUUAAACGUUACUGUCCAGUGACGCUGCGUGAGCAAUAAGCAGGAAAUACUAAUAAUAGUUUGGAUUUAAUAGUUUGAAAACUGGAAUAUUUGGGUCACAUUACCAGAGAAGAAAAAUAUGAGUUGAUGAGAAUUAUUAUGCAAGAAGCAUAGAAUCAAAAGAAGAAGAAGCAUAGGAAGAAGACGAAUCUCCUGGCUGAGGAAUCUUAGAUAAUGGUUUAACUGUAGUGCAUUACAACUGUUCAGAGCAGCAGGAAGCAAAGUGACCAUAGCUACUAUGAUAUCCAACCUCCGAUAGGACAUGAAACUUUCAGAAGAAGAAGUUAGAACUAAUAGUUUGGUAUAAUAACUACAAAAACGUGUACAAAUACAACAGUAUCUUCUACAAAAAUAAGCUAAUAAAUUCUUAAACCUGAAACCACAAGUUGGGGUAACUGAGACACUAAUUACAAUGUGGAGUCGCCGGUGACCCAUUCUUAAAAUCGCUUCAAAUUUAACUUGGAAAAAAUUUUACUAUUUCAAUUGAGAUUUUGGAAAACAUAAAAACGAAUGCUGAAUAAAACAAUGAAAGAUAAAUCUAAAGCGUCGUUUAAACACAACGAUAAGUCACAGCAACUAGUUGUGAUGACAAGUUGAAACGCUGUUUAGACGCUGCGAUUCAAUGCGAUACCACCUUCAACCCAACUCCAACUUUGAUAAGUUGUGCGAUGCACCGUUUACACACAAUGAUAAGUUGCAACAACUCGAUUGACCUUGAUAAGUUGUUUGAUUUAUCGCUGUGUUUAAACGACCCUUAAGAUUAAAAUUUACAACGUAAUAGUAGAGAGAUCUUGCACCUCUUAUUUUGCAAUUCCGUUAUUAGUGCAGUCACUGAAGGUGGAUAUGAGCUAUUACCUCCGAUUACGUUGAACCUCCAUCGAUUUGCAUGAAAAUUGGUAAGUGGUUAGAGGAUAUCUCAAGGAACAAAGGUGACAUGCUGCCAACUUGCGCUUUUACCCUGGGGGUGGAUGCCAUCCCUCCUCGGGGGUGAAAAUUAUUUUAUUAAAAAUAACCCCACAAUUCGAUAGAGGGACAAAUUAUAAGCAAAAUUUUUUAUAUAAAUUUAUUAAAAUAAAUCAAUACUUUUUGAGUUAUUAAAGAUCAAAGAUUUUAAUUUUUCGUGAGAAAAAUGUAUGUUUUUAACCGAUUUUUCAUAAAUAACUCAAAAACUAUAAGUUUUUGCAAAAAAGUUAUUAUUAUCAAAAUUGAGGCUAAUAAAAAAUCAAAUAAACUCCUUACUAGAAAAACAUUUCAAUGUUAACUAAAAGUGAAUUAUAGGUAAUUGAAUGUAUAUUUCUUUCGCUGAGUACCCAAAUCUAAGUAUUCAAGCUUAAAUACAGGGAAAAUGGUGCAUUUUAUAACAUAAACUUAUUAAACAUUUGUCAAAGUUCAUAGAAAUAUUUAUCAAAUAAUAUCGAACAUGUUGAUAGCAUUAAAAUUUAUGCACCAAAAAUGUUUCAAAAUGUAUCUUUUAAAAAUUUUUCCAAAAAAUGUUAUUGUUUUUUUUUUGUAAAUAACUCCGUUAAUUCUUAAGAUAUAAGGUUCAUCUAAAAACUAAUUAAAAGUUCAUUCCAAGAGCUAUUUAAAAAAGUCAAAAUUAGUCUUUUAAACCUCUAACUUUUAAAAAAUAAAAGUUUAUAUGGCCCCGGUUACAUAGUUCUCGCAGCAAAAUUGAAAUAUUAAACGUUUCUAUCUCGGUUAUUUUUUACUCUACGGAAAUAGUAAAAUGGAUAAAGUAUUUGGAACAGAAAAAACUAAAAUUUAGUUAUAAAUGAGUUUUUACGUAUAUUGAGUAUUUUUGGACUUAUUAUCAAAAGAAAAUGAAAAGUACGAUAAUUUUAAAAAUUCUGAUUUUUUUAAAUUAUACCUUUUUUUCAAAAAUAUGUAUUCUAAACCGGUCAAAAUUAUUGAAAUCAUUAACUAUGUUAACCUAAAGAAAUUCUUGUGAGUAUUACUACAAAUUUUAAUUUUUGUGGAAAUGGCGUAUGUUUUAUUUUUCACUUUUUGCUAAAAAAAAUCGAAAGGGUUGUCUUAUUUUCAUCAUAACUUGCUUAAUUUUGAUGCUAUUAGCUUCUACUGGAGCUCAUUUGAUAGGUAUUCCGAACUACUUUGACAAGUGUUUAACAAGUAUAUUAUAUAAAAUGCAUGGUUUUCCCGUUAUGUAAGCUUGAAUACUUAGAUUUGAGUACUCGUCGAAAAAAAUAUACAUUCAAUUACCCAUAACUCACUUUGAAAUAACAUUAAUUUAGUUGUUUAAGUGGGGAGUGUAUUAAAUUUUUUAUUACCUUUAAUUUUGGUAAUAAUAUCCUUUUUAAAAAAGGUUAUAGUUUUUGAGUAAUACGUGAAAAACAGCUUUAAAACAUGCAUUUUUUUUUUAAGAAAAAAUAAAAUUUUUGAUAUUAUUUUAAUAACUCAAAAACAAAUUUUGCUUAGAAAAUGCUCAUCUAUCGAUUUCUGGUAUUAUUUUUAAUAAAAAUAUUUCACCCCCGAGAAGGGGUGGCAUCCACUUCCAGGGUAAACGCGCAAGUUGGCAUCAUGUUACCUUUGUUCCUUGAAGUACCUUCUAACUACUCACCAAUUUUCAUGAAAAUCGAUGAAGGUUCAACGAAAUCGGAGGUGAAAACCUUCAGUGACUCCACUAUAUGGUUAUCGUUAUACUACGUCUGCGCAGUAGCGAAUAUAUGAUCCGUUAUCGUUAUUAAACAUAAGGGAUUCCGUAAUUUACGGAGGUUUAAAGUAGUGCUUAUCGUUAUCGUUAUAGUAAUGGUUAAAUUGCUUUGUUGCCAGAAUGUAAAAAAAUCAGUAAAAUUACAUUUACAUAAAUUCUAAUUUUGAUCACCUAUAAAUUAAAAUAUCAGAAACUGUUCAAGUAUAUGCUUAAAAUUACAAUAACGUUGUGAAGUGAGGUUAUGUUUAAAUAACGAUAACGAUGACACGAAAAACCUACUUGACAGGCUGCAAAACUCUGCUUUUUAACGUUGCCGUAAUCGUUAUGCUUAAUAAAGUUAACCAUAGCGGAGCCAAAAUCAGCGGUUAGUUUAAGAGGUGCAAAAUCUCUCUAUUGAAGUAAAAUUCUUUAAAAAUUAUCCAAGAGGUUAUGGAUUUAUCAUACAACUAAUAUUGUUGUCUAUGUAGUAUUAAAGAUUCUUUGUUUUUAACAUAUUAUACAUAUAUAAGCUUUCUUAUUUAAUUUAAACUUCCUUAAGAAUCUAUUGCAAAAUUCAUCAGAGUUAUUUAUUUCUUUACCAGAUUUCUCUCUCUAAUCACAUUAUUUAUAUAAAUUCAUUUUACGUGACUAGCGGUUAUGGCGGAUAAGACAAUUAUGUCGGUAUUUUGAGUAUUUGCGAUCUAGUUGGAUUUGUGGUUACUAUUCUAUGGUCUACCUAAUUAUACAUAUAAAACAAACAGUUUUUUCACUAUAAACUAUUCUAGUGUGAAGAUGAGUUACCAUUCGUGGGAAAGGUAUUUUAAAGAUCUUUACUACACAAUUGUGUAUACAGGGUUGACAUAAAAUUUGGAACUAAGUAAAUACUUAUCUUGAAAAUGAAGAUCGGACUAGGAUAGGAAGAACUACGAUGACCCUCAACGCAUCUCACGCCAUAUUUUUUGUUACCGUUGGCAGAUUUUAAAAUAAAUUGUUAUUCCUCAUUCAUACAUACCAAGUUUGGGAGAAAAUAGUUGUUAAAACGAGAUAUAAAUCAUUUUGAAGUUACAGAAUAGGUUAUUUUAUUUAGGUACGAGACUAAUAUAUAAAAAUACGUGAUUUUAGAUAACCACAGAAAAGACGUAACGGGUUAAGGUCCGGAAAACGAUCAGGACCCCGAUUUUUGACCCUUCGCUUCGCUAUCGAUUAUUCGCUAUCUGCACACUAAACAGAUACGAAGCGAACACGUUCGAUAACGAAGCGAAGGGUCAAAAAUCGAGAUCCAGGCCAUUUUAGAAUCCUCAUAUGUCAAAUCCAUCGCGAAUGCGAUAAAUCUUCUUCUUCUUAUUCUUUUUGUAUAGACGUUACUCUGUCUGUUUUUCAAUGUGCCUCCAGUAAAUUGUCAUUCCAUCUUUUUCGUGGUCUUCCCACUGAUCGUCUUCCUAUUGGGGAACCGCCUCUCGCCGUCCUUACUACUCUAUUUGUUGUCAUUCGGCUUAUGUUGUCGUUCCAUUCUACUCUUCUGCUUUUCAUCCAGUUAUUAAUGUUGACCACCUUGCAUCUCCUUCGUAUAUCUGCACUUCUAGCUCUAUCCCACAUCGUCGUUUUCAUCUCUGCCGUUUCUAGCAUUCUUUUUGUCUUUUCUGUGUAUCAGGUCGUGUUUCUGCCGUAUAUGUCAUUAUUGGUCUGAUGACUGUUUUGUAAAUUCUGCCUUUCACUUUUUUUCCGAUGUUUUUAUUUCCCCAUAUUGUUUCAUUCAGGCAACCUGCGGCUCUGUUUGCUUUAUUCACCUGAUCUUCCACUUCUGUUUCGAACUUUCCGUAGCUACAUAGUGUGAUGCCUAGAUCUUUCAACUCCAUGACUUGUUCUAUUAUUUGAUCUUCCAGCUCUAAUUUACACCUUUUUAGAUCUGCUGUUAUAACCAUGCAUUUUGUCUUUUUUGGGGAAAUUGACAUGUUAAAUUUUCUAGCGGUUAUAUUAAAUUCGUACAGCAUACGUUGUAAAUCAUCUUCACUUUGAGAGAUUAGUAUUGGUCUGCGUAGCAGAUUAUUUUAAGUUGUUUUUCUCCCAUUUGGUAUCCUUUUUUUGUUCUUACUUUUUUAUUAUUUCGUCCAUGAUCAGGUUGAACAACAGAGGACUCAUGGAAUCUCCCUGUCUUAUCCCAUUGCCAGCUUCAAUUGGGUCAGUUAGUUCUUUAUCUACUUUUACUUUUAUUGUGUUGUUCCUGGAGGUACCUCUCUAGCGUACAAUAAAUGGAUAACGUCCUUUAAUUUGACCCUGUCAAAUGUCUUCUUAAGGUCCACGAAACAUAAGUAUGCCGGUUUAUUGUAUUCUAACGAUUUUUCUUUAAUCUGCCUCAUUAUAAAUAUAGCGUCGGUGCAUGAUCUUCCCGACCUAAAACCUUGUUGUUCUUCUGCUAAUGUUAUAAUUUUAUUCAGUUUGUUUGUUAUCACUUUGGUCGUUAAUUUUAGUGUUGUGUUUAAUAAAUUAAUUCCUCUGUAAUUCUCCGGGUCCGAUUUUUCUCCCUUUUUGAACAGAGGUAUUAGAAAGCUUGAUCUCCAUUCUUGUGGUAUUCUGUUUUGUUCUAUUAUUUUUUGGAUUAGUUUUAAUAAUUGUUUGGUCAUGUCUUGUCCUCCAUACUUUAGGAGUUCAUUCGAUAUUCUGUCCUCUCCUGGUGAUUUUCUAUUUUUUAAUUUCCUUAAUGCUUCCGUUACCUCUGCUUCUUCAAUAUUUGUUUCUUUGUUUGUUGUCACUUCAGGUGUUGGUAGUUCGUUAUCGUUAUCUUUAGCAAACAGAGAUCGAAAAUAGUCUGCCCAAGUUUCCUUCUGAAUGUGUUUCGUUUUUAUUAGUUCGUUCAUCUCUUUUCUUUGUCCUCUGAUCAUUCUCCAUAUUUCCUUUUGUGUUCCGUAGAAGUCGUGUUCCAUCUGUUUUGAGAAACUCUCCCAGUGUUCUCUUUUUAUUUGUCUGACUAGAGUGUUAGCUUCGUUUCUAAUUCUUUUAUAGUGGUUGUAUGCCUGUUGUGUUUGUUGUGUUCUGUAUUGUAAAAAGGCUUUCUUCUUUUCUUUGCCUUUUAUCUUCACUUCCUCUCGAAACCAUGGGGUUUUCUUUUUUGAUAUAUUGGUAUUCGUUACUUUCCUCUCUCCAAGUGAUUCUGUUGCUGCGUUAAUUAUGUUACUUUUGAGUUUUUCCCAGCUUUCCUCGAUUUUAUCGCUUUCUAGUAUGUCAUUAUCAGAAAUCUUCUCUGAUAUUCUUUUUCUAUAUAAGUAGGUACUCCGUGGAUUCCGUACUUAGUCCUUCGACUUUGAUUUUUGUUUGUGUUGGUGCCACUCUCUUAGGUUUGAAAAAUUUCAUGGUGAUUCUAAUUUUACAUAAUACUAGGCUGUGGUCACUACCUACAUCUGCUGAGUUGAGGCAUCUUACGUUAAUUAUUUUUGAUGGAUGGAUAUCUCUGUUAGUUACAACAUAAUCUAUUAUAGAUCUUUGUCCACGGGUAUUAUUGAAUGUAUAUUUGUGUUGGUCUUUGUGGUCAAAAAGUGUUGUUUAUUCAAAGUUCGUUAUACGUGCAGAAGUUUAUCAUCAGUUCUCCAUUUUCGUUUUUGACAUUCUCAGUAUGCUUUUGUUUAUUUCCAGGUAUUACUUGGUUGCCUAUUCGAGCGUUAAAAUCCCCCAGUAUUAUCAACUUUUCUCUAACUUGAUCUACUACUUGUUGCAAUUGAUCAUAGAAUAUUUCCUUUGUUGUUUGGGGCUUACUAUUUUCUGGGCCGUAUACUCCGAUGAUGUUCAGGUCUUCUUUCUCCAUUCUAAUUUUUGCUGUGACAAUCCUUUCUGAUACAUAUUGACACUCUUUGAUGUUAUUUUGGUAUCUUUGGUGUAUUAGUAAGGCUACACCCUCUUUGGCCCUGUUUUCUUUUGCUACUCCACUGUAGAUUAGUAUAUAUUCGCCUAAUUUUGACUGGCCUUUUCCUUUCUUUUUGGUCUCCUGUAGAGCGCAUAUAUCUAUUUUUUUUUCUUUUUUAGCUCUUGGGUUAUUUCUUGAUCUCUAGUGUUGAGCGAUCUUAUGUUCCAAGUGCUUAUUCUCAUCUGGAUUUUGGAGGUUUUUCUCGUGUCCUUAUUUCUUGCCGUGGUCGUCUUCGUAUUAUCAAUCCGGUUUCGAGGCUUCACGAUAAAUUGCAUUCAGAAAAUCUCUAACCCGUCGAAUAGUAGUCAGGUAGCUCUCCAUCUCGUUAAAAGCAAAAAUUUUGUAGUAACUGGCCAUUUGUUGAAAUAUUAGUAGAAAUAAUUUGGUUAUUACGUAAAUCUAGGUAAAUACUUGUCACAAGUUAAAUGAGCGUAAAACCAUUUUUGGACAAUUUCCAUCCAAACAUUUAACUUUUUUGGUUGCUGCUCAAUUAAUGUUCCAGUUAAAUGUUGCAUUAAAAAAAUUUCUUCAUCGGAAAACACUAUAAUAUUAGUAUUCAGUUCAUGUUUAUCGUAUCAAGAAGCGUAUAGUACAGUUUGAAAUAGUAGUUAAUUUGUAUACGUACUUCUUUACCUAUGACAAGUUUUGGACAUUCUAGUGGUGAUGAACUUUCCGAUGACACUGCGAUAAUAAUCAGUUGGUGAUAAAUCUGUCUUUGGUACUCAUUGAUUACCAAAAUUUCAAGUUUCUUAAUGUUCCCUUCUAAUCUUCUUUCUAAAUCAUUUUCAUUUUUGUUCAUUUUCACAUCCUUUGGUCAAUUUUUUUGGGAAAUAAAUUUUGUGGUAUUUUUCAUCUGACUUUCUAUUAAGUUUCUUUGUUAAAUCUCCAAGACUGCUUCGUCUCCAGGCUAAAAUUCGAAUGCCUCCCGGUCUUUCCCAUUGAUGAUGAAAAGUUUCUUUAAUUGAUCUUGAAGGACCUUUCUGGUAGCACCCAAAUGUUACUUGCCUAGCCAUUCAGAGACUUCUUCCUUUUCAUACAUUACCUCUAUGAUCUGUGUAUACUGGUAAUAUUUAUUCUUAUUUAUGAUUCCGAAGAGCAGCUCUCUUGCCAUUUCUGUGGUGGUCUUUCCAGGAGCCUUCUUCCGUUUGUUUUCCCCUUGAAGUUUGUCAUACUUUUUAUUCGUUAAAUAUUUCUUUAGCUUCCCCUAAAAAGGUGUUUUCUACUCUUCAGUUCAUAUCUCCCAUAAGAAUUAUCUUGUCCAGCUCAUCUUGUAGUUGUUUGCAAAAUACUUCGAAUUCUUCUAUUGGCUGAGUGGCAUCAGGUGCGUAAGUGACUAUAAGAUCCAGUAAUAUUUCAUUUUCUAUUUUAAGUGUUAAAAUAAAUAUUCUGUCGUAAACUAUAAUCAACGGUAAAAUAGGAAAUACAUCUACAUAAUUUUGUGUAGAUAAAGAACUCAAAUAAUAAUGUCCUCUAUAUCAAACACUAUGCACUAUUACAAACAAAAUGCUAUGAUAUUAUUAUACCGUUUGAAUACAAUGAUUACAGCAUUUUACUGUUUACUAUUGAUUUUAAUAUCUAUUAGGCUAUAUUAUAAUAUGUUGCUUUUUACCAUCACAAAAAUGUAGACUUAACCAAAAUCACAGGAGUAACUAAUAUCACCCAUUGACCAAACGCAAAAUAUUGCUUGUGUUGGAGUUUUGAUAGUUGAAGUAGGCAUACAUAUAUGUAUGUGUUUGAUGUUUUGCCAUAGAAUAAAAAAUAAUUUAUUGUUAUUAUAUAUAAUGUUACUCCUAAACUAUAUAGCUAUAAUAAUCAUGUAGACUAAAAAAUCACCUUUUGUAACUAAUAAAUUGAUGACUGUGACUGAAAUAAAGUAGAAUAGAAUUUGA